GAUGAACGCUGGCGGCAUGCCUAACACAUGCAAGUCGGACGGGAAGACGUGUUUCCUGUGGCGCUCGGGUGAGCAACGCGUAAGAAACUGACCUGGGGAGGGGAACAACAGCUGGAAAGGGCUGCUAAUACCCCGCAGGCCGAGGAGCAAAAGGAGGAAUCCGCCGGAGGGGGGGCUAGCGUCUGACUAGCUAGCUGGCGAGGGAAUAGCUUACCAAGGUGAUGGUGAGUAGCUGGUCGGACAGGACGAUCAGCCACACUGGGACUGGGACACGGACCAGGGUACUACGGGAGACAGGAGUGAGGAAGUUUCCGCAAUGGGCGAUGGGCGGACGGAGCAAUGCCGCGUGGAAAUAGAGGGCCCAGGGAUCGAGAACUGCUUUUCCCGGAGAAGAAGCAAUGACGGUAUCUAGUGAAUAAGCAUCGGCUAACUCUGUG
RNAcentral lists this ribosomal RNA (437 nucleotides) under uncultured bacterium. RNAcentral describes it as "partial 16S ribosomal RNA". It matches the Rfam family "Bacterial small subunit ribosomal RNA", at positions 28 to 507 of the family's 1533-position model. The record is from RNAcentral.